CNGAGCGUUGUCCGGAUUUAUUGGGCGUAAAGGGAGCGCAGGCGGUUUAGUAAGUCUGAANUUAAAGGCAUUGGCUCAACCAANGUAUGCUUUGGAAACUGUUAGACUNGAGUGCAGAAGGGGAGAGUGGAAUUCCAUGUGUAGCGGUGAAAUGCGUAGAUAUAUGGAGGAACACCGGUGGCGAAAGCGGCUCUCUGGUCUGUCACUGACGCUGAGGCUCGAAAGCGUGGGUAGCGAACAGGAUUAGAUACCCUGGUAGUCCACGCCGUAAACGCUGAGUGCUAGGUGUUAGGUCCUUUCCGGGACUUAGUGCCGACGCUAACGCAUUAAGCACUCCGCCUGGGGAGUACGACCGCAAGGUUGAAACUCAAAGGAAUUGACGGGGGCCCGCACAAGCGGUGGAGCAUGUGGUUUAAUUCGAAGCAACGCGAAGAACCUUACCAGGUCUUGACAUCCCGAUGCCCGCUCUAGAGAUAGAGUUUUUCUUCGGAACAUCGGAGACAGGUGGUGCAUGGUUGUCGUCAGCUCGUGUCGUGAGAUGUUGGGUUAAGUCCCGCAACGAGCGCAACCCUUAUUGUUAGUUGCCAUCAUUAAGUUGGGCGCUCUAGCGAGACUGCCGGUAAUAAACCGGAGGAAGGUGGGGAUGACGUCAAAUCAUCAUGCCCCUUAUGACCUGGGCUACACACGUGCUACAAUGGUUGGUACAACGAGUCGCAAGCCGGUGACGGCAAGCUAAUCUCUGGAAGCCAAUCUCAGUUCGGAUUGUAGGCUGCAACUCGCCUACAUGAAGUCGGAAUCGCUAGUAAUCGCGGAUCAGCACGCCGCGGUGAAUGCGUUCCCGGGCCUUGUACACACCGCCCGUCACACCACGAGAGUUUGUAACACCCAAAGUCGGUGAGGUAACCAUUUAUGGGGCCAGCCGC
Molecule: ribosomal RNA, 923 nt
Filed under: uncultured bacterium
Lineage: Bacteria
Description: bacterial SSU rRNA
Rfam family: Bacterial small subunit ribosomal RNA
Source: RNAcentral